UCGAAUUCUCCUUUUCCUCCGGGUUUCACUUAAGCCUUCAAGAAGAGGUUCUCGACUUUUCUUGCUUCUAGUACGAAUUAUAUCCUGCAUACAUAACAAACAAAACCCUAAACAGCACUUUUCUAAAACAAAAAGAAAACAAAAACAAAAAUCAAGUCAAAGUUAAUCAAUAAUCACCCUACUAGAAUAAUUAAACUACGAGUCCCCAGCAACGGUGUCAAAAACUUGUUAAGACUCCG
This 239-nucleotide long non-coding RNA is filed under the name Vigna radiata. Its description in RNAcentral is "long non-coding RNA (VRAD_LNC016895)". The record is from RNAcentral. Lineage: Eukaryota; Viridiplantae; Streptophyta; Magnoliopsida; Fabales; Fabaceae.